UGGGGGAUAUUGCACAAUGGGCGAAAGCCUGAUGCAGCGACGCCGCGUGGGGGAUGAAGGCCUUCGGGUUGUAAACUUCUUUUGCUCUGAACAAGGCAUGCUUUUGGGGUGUGUUGAGUGUAGGGGUUGAUUAGCGCCGGCUAACUACGUGCCAGCAGCCGCGGUAAUACGUAGGGCGCGAGCGUUGUCCGGAAUUAUUGGGCGAAAAGGGCUUGUAGGUGGCUGGUUGCGUCUGUCGUGAAAGCUCAUGGCUUAACUGUGGGUUUGCGGUGGGUACGGGCUGGCUUGAGUGCAGUAGGGGAGGCUGGAAUUCCUGGUGUAGCGGUGGAAUGCGCAGAUAUCAGGAGGAAUACCGGUGGCGAAGGCGGGUCUCUGGGCUGUUACUGACGCUGAGGAGCGAAAGCGUGGGGAGCGAACAGG
This 420-nucleotide ribosomal RNA is filed under the name Fusobacteriota bacterium. RNAcentral's name for it is "Fusobacteria bacterium partial 16S ribosomal RNA". It matches the Rfam family "Bacterial small subunit ribosomal RNA", at positions 355 to 776 of the family's 1533-position model. Lineage: Bacteria; Fusobacteriati; Fusobacteriota. The record is from RNAcentral.